GCAGGCAGCCUGCUUGUUCAAAUGCACCGGUCAAAACACCAUACAACAGUUUGGACAGAGCGCCCAGUAGGCUACACAACAACAGUGCUGGAAAACAAUGACAAUUUCUCUAAACUUCGAAAAGAUUUAACUGCUAAGUGGUAGUCCCUGUUCUCCUUCAUUCUUGUUUUACUUUUGUACGUAAAGCGGUGGUUUGUUGGGGAGAAGAACGUCAAGGAAAAUGUUUCUAGCUAGCUAACUUAGCUGGCUAAUUUUAGCUAGCUAACGUUAACCCACUGGCUAAUCCUCCAUGGACAUAGGAUCUUCUAGCUUGGAUGGAAGAUUGGAGGAGGGAACAAAUGGGAGGAGGGAACAAAUGGAAGGAGUACAGUAGUUAUCCAGCCUGCUGACUAAGAAAUACUGCCAAGCUGUCCUCAAUUGGAGGAACCUCUGUCCGGGUCAAUCUUCUCAGGAUUAUGGACGGUGCUGAUUAUAAAAAUGUUGUUUGAAUAUUACCACAUUUAUUAGGAUUAAGCAAAACUUUACCAUUUAGAGAUGAAUUUAAAAAAAAAAACAUUAUCCAACUACUGUCUAAUUUUGAUAUCCUCUUUCUUAAAAUGUUUGAGAUUGAUGACCAAUUAGUUAAUGUCCCACUGUAAUAUAAGGGACAGAGGAGCAAACAUGCCUUUGCUACCACUCGUGUGCUCCGUUGUAGUUGGUAAGUAAAUCUGAGCAGUUGAGACAUUUGACAUAGACAAUGAGACAUUUUUAGUAGAUUCUGACCAUCAAAUAUAUGUUAAUGUUCUGUCGUGUCCUGCAUGCCCACAUUAUGCCAAUUGUUAAUUUAUUUUCUUCUCUUUUUAUGCUUCCAGUAUGUGUCAUGAAAAGCCAGAAAUCUCAUUAGAAUAAUA
Molecule: long non-coding RNA, 890 nt
Organism: Salvelinus sp. IW2-2015
Lineage: Eukaryota; Metazoa; Chordata; Actinopteri; Salmoniformes; Salmonidae
Source: RefSeq, a predicted model, not a curated record